AUGCGAAGACGUUCGCCUGCUGGGCCUGAGCGUGGACGUCGCCCACAUCCCGACGACCCACAUGCUCUGGGUGAUGAAGCAUGGUGCUGGCCGCAUGGAGGAGAUGCUCGGCUACUCGCGCCAGACCGCCUGGUGCCACCUCCUCCAGGAGUGAAGCGCUACGACCUCCUCAUCCAUGUCGAUCAGGUGGAAGACUGGACGCCGUGCUCACUGCCAUCCUCCCACUCCGGCCUGUGGCCUCCCGUCCUCGGAUACCGACGAGGGCAAGGCCCUGCCGCGUAUCGAGUCGGUCGUCUGGACCAUGAACAUGGAGGACGGCUAGGAGCAGUCCCACAGAUGUGUGCGGGCGAAGCUCUCCUCUGGCUGUCAUGGCUUCCCCUCCAACGGCAGCCGUCGCGAGGACGACCACAAUAA
This 414-nucleotide ribosomal RNA is filed under the name Triticum aestivum (bread wheat). RNAcentral describes it as "partial small subunit ribosomal RNA". Lineage: Eukaryota; Viridiplantae; Streptophyta; Magnoliopsida; Poales; Poaceae. The record is from RNAcentral.